RNAcentral lists this long non-coding RNA (2740 nucleotides) under Equus caballus (horse). RNAcentral describes it as "lncRNA (ENSECAG00000037415.3)". Lineage: Eukaryota; Metazoa; Chordata; Mammalia; Perissodactyla; Equidae. The record is from RNAcentral.
GUAUAAAAUGUGGGGAGCUGACAUUUUAGAGGGAGCGGCCAGGCGUGGGCACACAGGAGCAAAGACCUGGCAAAAGUGAGGGAGCACGGAGCCUGUAAAUAUCUGAGGAAAGAACCUUCUAGCAAAGGGAGCAGCCGCAUGCCAAGGCCCCUUCUCGGACAAGAGGCCAGUGUGGCUGGAGGAGGGGGAGGAAGUGGGCAGAGGGGGGACUGCAGUGGGAUGUGAGGUCAGAGAGGCGAGGGGGUGGCAGGCCCCCGUGUGGGCCACGCAAGGGACCUGGUUCCAGCCUGUCGGUUGCAAGCCAUGCAGGAGGUUGAGCAGGGGAGGGACGAGGCCUACUCAUGUUUUCAUGGGAUCGUCCCACUGCUGGGCGGAGGACGCUGAACAGGGAGGAGCUGCGCAGAGAGACCAGCAAGGAGGCUGCUGAGGUGAUCGGACCCGGAGGUGUGACAAAGCCACCGGAGGAUCAAAAGCUACGGAGUGACCUGAACAGCCUUGGAUGCAGGUGACACGUGUGCAAGGAGUUCAGGUCAACGAGCGUCAUGGUCAGGCCAGCGGGUCGUGGGGUCUGCUCAGCCGGGGUCUGAGUCCAGCUCUCACUGGUUAAAUUUAGUGGAUAAAUUGCUUCACCUUGCUAAGCCUCAGUUUUCUUCUCUGCGAAAUGGGCUGGUGGGGCCUCUGCACGGAUUACUUGAUGGGAAGCAUGUAAAGCUCUGAGCGGCUCACAGCCUGGCUCCCCCCACCGCCUUUCCUCCUCUUCCUCUCCCUCGCCUCUCUUUUCUGCCUUCUGAUGUGUGAAUAGGACUUGAAAGCCGGGGUGGCGGCCCUGUGAGGGUUGCUCUCUGCAUAACGAGCUUUCAUCCCCGUUGCCAUGACAGCUGUAAUGCUCUCCCCUCGGGAGCAGCCGAGGUCUAACAACUGCUGAAGAGGCCCCUUUAGAGCACGUUGAACACUCUAAAGAGAAUUUCCGCUCCCACAUCAGGGCACUUGACAAUCGUUUUCCUCCUCGAGACUCAGCUCCGAGGAGUGGUGUCCAGCUGUGGGAAGGGAUGCCGGGCUGGGUUCAGUCUUUAAUGAGAGCUAUCUGGGGUGUGGCACGACCUUCCCCCUCCAUCAUUCCUUGCUGUCUCCCAGGGAGGGAGCUGGUCCUGCUGACCGUCAGCCAAGGCCGGUGCUGGGAGGUCCCUGUGGGCACAGAACCUCCUUUUCAAAGGCUCUCUCUCUGGUGAGCAGCCAUCCACAUUUACAUGACAUUUGUUCAGGAGUGGCUCUUACCUGUGCAUCACUGUUGUUUAAACAUAAAUUUACCGCCCCCUCCUUUUAAGCACCAUAGUAGGCGUAGAUCUGAUAGCCUACCAGCAGAACUUUAGAUUGUCAUCUUAGGGCCAGUUGGUCCUCAGCCGCAUCACAAGCCAGAGGAAAGAACGAGGGUGUUUGGCCCCUGGGUAUAGGAAAUAGAUUUGAGCUUUCUAUCUAUGAGAUGCCCAAUGAAAAUUUCAGUUAUUUGAUAAUGCGAGACACGGUUCCCCAAAUUUCUUCCCUUUCUAAAACAGCACCAGUGAAACAUCAUUAACAUCGAGAAUGCUUAUUACAACGCUCUCGGUUGCAAAUGAUGGACUCUCAGCUCAAAUAAACAUAAGCAAAGGCCGUGUUUAGACUCAUAACUAAAAAGUCUGGGAGCUGGUCUGGCAUUAGCUGCACCUAGACCCAGAGUCUCAAUCUCUGUCUGUCUGUCUGUCUCUCUUCCCUCCUCCUCGUGGACUUUCCCCACGUGGCCAGUGUCGUGGCUGGCUGCCCAGAACCCACAUCCUCUCAGCCCCAUAACCCAAGUAGAAAGAGUGCCUUCCCGAGAACCUGGUGAGGAAUGUUCUGGAGAGAACCCUGAGAGGUCAGGCUGGGUCCAGCAUGAGUCAUGUCAGCUGGGAAGUGAGCUCUCUGAUGGAGAUGCCUGGGUUACGUCGUAAGCAAUAACAUCCGUUGAGUCACAAGCUUAAUAUGCUCAGUGUAUUUUUUAAAUGAAAUUUUUAUUUUAGAAUUGCUUUAGAUUUACAGAAAACUUGCAAAGAUAGGACAGAGUUCUCAGAUAUCCGCACCAGUUUCCCGUUAUUGACGUCUUACCGUAGCGCAGUGCGCUUGUCCAGUUAAUGGAUCAACACGGAUCCGUUAUUCCUAACUGAAGUCACUCUUGAGUCAGAUCUCUUUGGUUUUCCCCAGUGCCCUCUUUCUGUUGUAGGGUCCCAUCCAGGAAACCACUUUACGCUUGGUCACCACGUCUCCCGAGGCCCCUCUGUGCUUUGACUAUUUCUCACUCUUCUGGUUUUUGAUGCCCUUGCCGGUUUUGAGGAGUGCUGGUCAGCUGUUCUGUAGGAUGUCCCUCCACCGGGAUUGGCCCGAUGUUCUUCUCACAAUGAGACGGGUGUGGGUUUUGGGGAGGAAGAGCCCAGAAGUCAGGAGGCGUUUUCUUCACAUCAUGCUCUGGGUCUGUUCCGUCAACAUGGCCUAUCUGGCCUAUCACUGUCGGCGUUGACCUGGACCUCCUGACUCGGGGGUGUCUGCCAGGCUUCUCCCUGUAAAGCUACUCUUCACCCCCCUUCCCUCACGUGCUCUGUGGGAGGAAGUUGCCGUGCACAGCCCACACUAAGGAGAGGGCAGGUGUGCCCGCCUCCUCGAGGGCAGGCUAGCUGCAAGAAGUCUUCUGCCUGGGAAAUAUGUCUCCCCCCACUGUGUAUUUCUUUAUUCA